Molecule: ribosomal RNA, 211 nt
Filed under: uncultured eukaryote
Lineage: Eukaryota
Description: partial 18S ribosomal RNA
Rfam family: Eukaryotic small subunit ribosomal RNA
Source: RNAcentral
UGGUGGAGCGAUUUGUCUGGUUAAUUCCGUUAACGAACGAGACUACUACUUGCUAAAAUACAGGGGGGGUGCUGGGUACUGUGGGGCCACGUUCAGUUGGGGCGGCGGGGAUUCUCGCCGCUCACACUGCACUCGGUUACCCUCUCAGCAUCCCUUCCUUUUCUUAGAGGGACUUUUGGUGUCAAGCCAAAGGAAGUGAGUGGCAAUAGCA